AUCAAAUUUUAAAAUCAUAAACAGGAUCAUUAUAUAUGAGAUAGGAUUCAGAUACAGAAAUUAAAUAGAAAAAGAUAAAUAAACUUCAUACCUUGACACGAGUCGAUCUUCACCAUGAACUGAUGAUCAUAGAUGCAUUUCGAAGGUCCCUUGAAGCUACACAAAUGUCCGACCUCUACAGGUAUCCACAUGAGAUUUUGAUCUGAUCAGAAGCUUAUUGAUCUCACCAGAGUGCUAGCUCUCUUGUAAAAAUCAUAUCUUGACGGUUAAAAAAUCUUCUUUUUUCUUAAGAUACUUUUAGAGAAGAAGAAGAUAGGAGGAUGUUGAUCUCUAUGCUAGAGAUCAUGAGAAGAACCUUUUCUUCUCUUUUUUUUUUAAACCCA
RNAcentral lists this long non-coding RNA (383 nucleotides) under Elaeis guineensis (African oil palm). RNAcentral describes it as "long non-coding RNA (EGUI_LNC017007)". The record is from RNAcentral. Lineage: Eukaryota; Viridiplantae; Streptophyta; Magnoliopsida; Arecales; Arecaceae.